CAGUAGCCGCGGGAAUACGGAGGGGGCUAGCGUUGUUCGGAGUUACUGGGCGUAAAGCGCACGUAGGCGGCUUGGUAAGUUAGAGGUGAAAGCCUGGAGCUCAACUCCAGAAUUGCCUUUAAGACUGCCGAGCUAGCAGGUGAGAGAGGUAAGUGGAAUUCCGAGUGUAGAGGUGAAAUUCGUAGAUAUUCGGAAGAACACCAGUGGCGAAGGCGGCUUACUGGCUCAUACUGGACGCUGAGGUGCGAAAGCGUGGGGAGCAAACAGGAUUAGAUACCCGAGUAGUCCCUGUCUCUUAUAA
This 301-nucleotide ribosomal RNA is filed under the name uncultured bacterium. Its description in RNAcentral is "partial 16S ribosomal RNA". It matches the Rfam family "Bacterial small subunit ribosomal RNA", at positions 509 to 809 of the family's 1533-position model. The record is from RNAcentral.